RNAcentral lists this ribosomal RNA (492 nucleotides) under uncultured bacterium. RNAcentral describes it as "partial 16S ribosomal RNA". It matches the Rfam family "Bacterial small subunit ribosomal RNA", at positions 29 to 507 of the family's 1533-position model. The record is from RNAcentral.
AGUGAACGCUGGCGGUAGGCCUAACACAUGCAAGUCGAACGGCAGCACAGUAAGAGCUUGCUCUUACGGGUGGCGAGUGGCGGACGGGUGAGGAAUACAUCGGAAUCUACUUUUUCGUGGGGGAUAACGUAGGGAAACUUACGCUAAUACCGCAUACGACCUACGGGUGAAAGCAGGGGAUCUUCGGACCUCGCGCGAUUGAAUGAGCCGAUGUCGGAUUAGCUAGUUGGCGGGGUAGAGGCCCACCAAGGCGACGAUCCGUAGCUGGUCUGAGAGGAUGAUCAGCCACACUGGAACUGAGACACGGUCCAGACUCCUACGGGAGGCAGCAGUGGGGAAUAUUGGACAAUGGGCGCAAGCCUGAUCCAGCCAUACCGCGUGGGUGAAGAAGGCCUUCGGGUUGUAAAGCCCUUUUGUUGGGAAAGAAAAGCAGCAGGUUAAUACCCCGCUGUUCUGACGGUACCCAAAGAAUAAGCACCGGCUAACUUCGUG